ACGUAGGGUGCAAGCGUUAUCCGGAUUUAUUGGGCGUAAAGAGCUCGUAGGCGGUUUGUCACGUCUAGUGUGAAAGUCCAUCGCUUAACGGUGGAUCUGCGCUGGAUACGGGCAAGCUUGAGUGUGGUAGGGGAGACUGGAAUUCCCGGUGUAACGGUGGAAUGUGUAGAUAUCGGGAAGAACACCAAUGGCGAAGGCAGGUCUCUGGGCCAUUACUGACGCUGAGGAGCGAAAGCGUGGGGAGCGAACAGG
Molecule: ribosomal RNA, 252 nt
Filed under: uncultured bacterium
Lineage: Bacteria
Description: partial 16S ribosomal RNA
Rfam family: Bacterial small subunit ribosomal RNA
Source: RNAcentral